Non-coding RNA from Caenorhabditis brenneri, 71 nucleotides. NCBI's taxonomy places the organism in Eukaryota, Metazoa, Nematoda, Chromadorea, Rhabditida, Rhabditidae. The record is from the annotation of a GenBank genome assembly.
GCUGCGUGGCGCAGUGGCUAGCGCGUCUGCUUUUGAAUUUCUCGACCCGGGUUCGACUCCCGACGGGUGCA